UACGGAGGGUGCAAGCGUUAUCCGGAUUCACUGGGUUUAAAGGGUGCGUAGGCGGGUAGGUAAGUCCGUGGUGAAAUCUCUGAGCUUAACUCAGAAACUGCCAUGGAUACUAUUUGUCUUGAAUGUUGUGGAGGUAAGCGGAAUAUGUCAUGUAGCGGUGAAAUGCUUAGAUAUGACAUAGAACACCCAUUGCGAAGGCAGCUUACUACACAACGAUUGACGCUGAGGCACGAAAGCGUGGGGAGCAAACAGG
Molecule: ribosomal RNA, 253 nt
Filed under: uncultured bacterium
Lineage: Bacteria
Description: partial 16S ribosomal RNA
Rfam family: Bacterial small subunit ribosomal RNA
Source: RNAcentral